Molecule: ribosomal RNA, 305 nt
Filed under: uncultured bacterium
Lineage: Bacteria
Description: bacterial SSU rRNA
Rfam family: Bacterial small subunit ribosomal RNA
Source: RNAcentral
UACCUACGGGAGGCAGCAGUAGGGAAUUUUCGUCAAUGGGGGAAACCCUGAACGAGCAAUGCCGCGUGGGUGAAGAAGGCCUUCGGUAUGUAAAGUUCUAUCAGCAGGGAAGAAAAUGACAGUACCUGACCAAGAAGCCCCGGCUAACUACGUGCCAGCAGCCGCGGUAAUACGUAGGGGGCGAGCGUUAUCCGGAUUCACUGGGCGUAAAGGGAGCGCAGGCGGCACGGCAAGUCCGGUGUGAAAGCCCGGGGCCCAACCCCGGGACUGCACUGGAAACUGCCGGGCUGGAGUGUCGGAGGGGC